UUAGUGGCGGACGGGUGAGUAACGCGUGGAUAACCUGCCGUAUACAGGGGGAUAACACUUAGAAAUAGGUGCUAAUACCGCAUAAGCGCACGGUUCCGCAUGGAACAGUGUGAAAAACUCCGGUGGUAUACGAUGGAUCCGCGUCUGACUAGCCAGUUGGCGGGGUAACGGCCCACCAAAGCGACGAUCAGUAGCCGGCCUGAGAGGGUGAACGGCCACAUUGGGACUGAGACACGGCCCAAACUCCUACGGGAGGCAGCAG
RNAcentral lists this ribosomal RNA (262 nucleotides) under uncultured bacterium. Its description in RNAcentral is "partial 16S ribosomal RNA". It matches the Rfam family "Bacterial small subunit ribosomal RNA", at positions 92 to 354 of the family's 1533-position model. The record is from RNAcentral.